GGUCACUGAAGAGGAGAAAGAAAGGAGUUUAUGUAGGGAGAUAGUGAAUCAUUGGAUCAGUAAAGAACUCCAGAGGCUAGAAAGAUUAAUUGACAGGGCGAGUGAGAAAGGUUGGCGCAAGGAAUAUCCUAAAAUCUAUAGACUGCCUUCGUCCCCUUCAUCACUGCCAAAAACUAGCCAAACUUCCUCUAUUUCUUCAAUUUGAGACCUGCUAUUUAGGGGAGUAACAGACUUGUCCUAAAGGGCAUCAGGCAGACUGGCUCAUGAAUUAUGUAAUGAAGUGAUGCAAGUAAGGGUGUGCAAGUGCGCCUUCAACUAAUAACAGAAAAGAAGAAAAUAAAAUAGAGCAUUCAUCAACUUCAGACUUGGGAAAAGAUGGUCGAUCUGAUCGAGGAGGCUUUUGAAUGAUCAUCGACACUUAUAUAUUUUUUCUCUUUUCCUAUAGUUUUGUCUUAUUGUAGGUAACAUGUGGCGUGUAAAUGUAGCCCUCAAGUGUUGCAUUCAAUAAUUUAUCUGAAUUCGUGAAUUAAUCUUUUAUAGUUAGAGUUGGCAGUAUGGUGUGCCUUGACUAAAGGAUGCAUAAUAGAUCCUUGGUUCAUUACUUUAGGAUACAUAUUUGUAUGUUGUUUGGCUUCUCUUGCCUAGCUAAUACAUUGAGAACUAUUAAAGGUCUACCUGACGAUUU
Molecule: RNA transcript, 685 nt
Organism: Zea mays
Lineage: Eukaryota; Viridiplantae; Streptophyta; Magnoliopsida; Poales; Poaceae
Gene name: protein-like pseudogene
Exons: 4
Source: RefSeq, a predicted model, not a curated record